CCUACGGGAGGCAGCAGUGAGGAAUAUUGGUCAAUGGCCGGAAGGCUGAACCAGCCAUGCCGCGUGAAGGUCAGUGCCCUAUGGGCGUUAAACUUCUUUUGUGCGGGAGCAAUAAUGGUCACGUGUGGCCAGACGAGAGUACCGUACGAAUAAGCAUCGGCUAACUCCGUGCCAGCAGCCGCGGUAAUACGGGGGAUGCAAGCGUUAUCCGGAUUUAGUGGGUUUAAAGGGUGCGUAGGCUGUGAGGUAAGUCCACGGGGAAAUUCCCCGGCUCAACGGGGUGAAGGGCCAUUGAUACUGCCAUGCUGGAGUGCGGAUGCGGUGGGAGGAAUGUGUGGUGUAGCGGUGAAAUGCGUAGAUAUCACACAGAACACCGAUUGCGAAGGCGUCUAACGAGUACGCGAUUGACGCUGAUGCGCGAAAGCGUGGGUAUCAAACAGGAUUAGAUACCCUAGUAGUC
Molecule: ribosomal RNA, 460 nt
Filed under: uncultured bacterium
Lineage: Bacteria
Description: partial 16S ribosomal RNA
Rfam family: Bacterial small subunit ribosomal RNA
Source: RNAcentral